GGCGCGCGUGUCUAGUGGUAUGAUUCUCGCUUCGGGUGCGAGAGGUCCCGGUUCGAUUCCCGGUGCGCGGCCC
This 73-nucleotide transfer RNA is filed under the name Pythium insidiosum. RNAcentral describes it as "tRNA-Pro". It matches the Rfam family "tRNA". From Rfam's summary of the family: Transfer RNA (tRNA) molecules are approximately 80 nucleotides in length. Their secondary structure includes four short double-helical elements and three loops (D, anti-codon, and T loops). Lineage: Eukaryota; Oomycota; Peronosporomycetes; Pythiales; Pythiaceae. The record is from RNAcentral.